Molecule: ribosomal RNA, 819 nt
Filed under: Mycolicibacterium cosmeticum
Lineage: Bacteria; Bacillati; Actinomycetota; Actinomycetes; Mycobacteriales; Mycobacteriaceae
Description: bacterial SSU rRNA
Rfam family: Bacterial small subunit ribosomal RNA
Source: RNAcentral
GCAAGUCGAACGGAAAGGCCCUUCGGGGUGCUCGAGUGGCGAACGGGUGAGUAACACGUGGGUGAUCUGCCCUGCACUUUGGGAUAAGCCUGGGAAACUGGGUCUAAUACCGAAUAGGACUCCGGCCUUCAUGGGUUGGGGUGGAAAGCUUUUGCGGUGUGGGAUGGGCCCGCGGCCUAUCAGCUUGUUGGUGGGGUAAUGGCCUACCAAGGCGACGACGGGUAGCCGGCCUGAGAGGGUGACCGGCCACACUGGGACUGAGAUACGGCCCAGACUCCUACGGGAGGCAGCAGUGGGGAAUAUUGCACAAUGGGCGCAAGCCUGAUGCAGCGACGCCGCGUGAGGGAUGACGGCCUUCGGGUUGUAAACCUCUUUCAGCACAGACGAAGCGCGAGUGACGGUAUGUGCAGAAGAAGGACCGGCCAACUACGUGCCAGCAGCCGCGGUAAUACGUAGGGUCCGAGCGUUGUCCGGAAUUACUGGGCGUAAAGAGCUCGUAGGUGGUUUGUCGCGUUGUUCGUGAAAACUCACAGCUUAACUGUGGGCGUGCGGGCGAUACGGGCAGACUGGAGUACUGCAGGGGAGACUGGAAUUCCUGGUGUAGCGGUGGAAUGCGCAGAUAUCAGGAGGAACACCGGUGGCGAAGGCGGGUCUCUGGGCAGUAACUGACGCUGAGGAGCGAAAGCGUGGGGAGCGAACAGGAUUAGAUACCCUGGUAGUCCACGCCGUAAACGGUGGGUACUAGGUGUGGGUUUCCUUCCUUGGGAUCCGUGCCGUAGCUAACGCAUUAAGUACCCCGCCUGGGGAGUACGGCCGCAA